CCGACCUUUGCUCAGUUGGUAGAGCGGAGGACUGUAGUUGACGCAGAUUAUCCUUAGGUCACUGGUUCGAAUCCGGUAGGUCGGA
RNAcentral lists this transfer RNA (85 nucleotides) under Arabidopsis suecica. RNAcentral describes it as "tRNA-Tyr". It matches the Rfam family "tRNA". From Rfam's summary of the family: Transfer RNA (tRNA) molecules are approximately 80 nucleotides in length. Their secondary structure includes four short double-helical elements and three loops (D, anti-codon, and T loops). The record is from RNAcentral. Lineage: Eukaryota; Viridiplantae; Streptophyta; Magnoliopsida; Brassicales; Brassicaceae.